This 1155-nucleotide ribosomal RNA is filed under the name human gut metagenome. RNAcentral describes it as "eukaryotic LSU rRNA". It matches the Rfam family "Eukaryotic large subunit ribosomal RNA", at positions 1828 to 3173 of the family's 3401-position model. The record is from RNAcentral.
AAAAAUUAAUUUAAUCGUACCGAUAACCGCAUCAGGUCUCCAAGGUGAGUAGCUUCUGGCCAUUGAGUAAUGGUAAUUUAGGGAAUUCGGCCAAUUAGAGCUGUAACUUCGGGAUAAAGCUUGGCUCUGAUGGAAAUCAGAACCGAUAGUUACAAGGAGAGCCCAACUGUUUAAUAAAAACUUAGUGUCGCGUCAUACCUUUAUAAGUAAUAAACGUGACAUGAAUCCUGCUCAGUGCUGUGUUUGUUAAACUGGAUUAAUCCAUUUAAGCGCCGGUAAAUAGCUGGGGUAACUAUGACUCUUAUCAAAGUAGCGAAAUACCUCGUCACUUAAUUAGUGACCUGCAUGAACGGAGCUAUGAGGUUCUCACUGUCCCAAAUUAUCACUCAGCGAACCAACAGUUGUGGGAACGGGCACAAAUUAUCCAGCGGGGAAAGAAGACCCUGUAGAGCUUCACUUUGGUCUAAUCUUGUAUAGUUUCGUUAGGGGUGCAGUCUAGGUGGGAGAUUUUUAAUCAAAUAUGAGAAACCACUACCCUUUCUGGAAUUAUACUUACUAAAAUUCUUUUCUAAAUUUUAGGAUCGGAUUAGAUAGAAAGUUUGGCUGGGGCGGCACACCUUCGAAAAAGCAGCGAAGGUGUCCUAAGUUAAGCUCAGUAAGGACAGAAAUCUUACGUUGAGGAUAAGGCCAAAAGCUUAAUUUACUGUGCCUUUUUGUACUAGGAUCAGUUUGGAAACAAAGGCCUAACGAUCCCUAAUUAGUCUUAGGUGUGUAAGACUUGGGGUGACAGACAAGUUACCUCCGGGACAACUGGCUUGUGGCUGCUAAGAGAUCAAAUCAACGCAGCUUUUUGAUUCUUCGAUGUCGGCUCUUCCUAUCCUAGUGAUGUACAAGUCACUAAGGGUUGGAUUGUUCACCCGUAUUAGGGAUCGUGAGCUGGGUUUAGACCGUCGUGAGCCAGGUUUGUUUUAUCCUACUGGAUAUAAUUUAGCAUCUUGAUAGUAGUUUGAUUUAGUACGAGAGGAACUGUUGAAUAUGGUCUCUGGUUUGGGAAUUUUAUGAAAAUAAAAGUUCCAAAGCUACGCCGUCUGAGAUAAUGGCUGAAGGCCUCUUAAGCCAGAAACUCAUCUAAAAAUAGAUGCUUUAAACUAUUUA